Molecule: non-coding RNA, 1663 nt
Organism: Prunus avium (sweet cherry)
Lineage: Eukaryota; Viridiplantae; Streptophyta; Magnoliopsida; Rosales; Rosaceae
Source: RefSeq, a predicted model, not a curated record
UGGAGGGGGUUUCAUCAGAAACGAGGGGGGAGAUUGGGAAAAGGGAAGAAUAACUAUGAUGAUUCUUCCUUUGGUUGAUCCUUCUAAAAUAUGCCCCCUGUAGCCUUCCUCUAGGAAUGAACCAUCCAAUCUGAUGAUUUUUUUUCUCUCUGCUGUCUUUUCUUUUCCUUUCUCUCUCUCUCUCGACUGAAACCAAACCACUACCUUUCACUCUCAACUCAAUUAAUUACACCCACAACCCCCCAUCUCAUUUAUUGCGAGUCGCUCGUCACGCUUAAAUAGAACCCAUCUGCCCUUUCAACCUAAUCCUCCUCCUCCUCCUCCUCCUUCAUAAGCCUGGUCCGUAUAUAUGUAUGUUAUCACUGUCCAUCUCUUUCCCCAGCUGAGCUCCAACAUAAGGGAGGGAGAAGGGUCGUGAAUAAUGCAAACAACAGUGCACAGGCUUUGAUGAGAUCAUGUGGGUUUAGCAAAGCGUUUCUUACAGAGUUUAUUGGCAUUCUGUCCACCUCCUCUCUUUGUUCACUCUGUGUGUAUUAGAAGAUAGUACGUGUGGAGGUGGGCAUACUGCCAACUGAGCUCUGUUGGCUUCUCUUUGUAAAACCCUCGUGACUGACGAUGAUAUCUCCCAGCGCUACAUACACUUGCUGAUUGUUAAAAUCUUGUGUUGUAAUUAAUUGUCUGUUAAUAAGGAGGAGGAUGAGCUUUCCUGAGCAACACAAAGCAUCAUUAAUUAUCUCCAUCCGUAACUCUUUAAAUUUCUUCUGUUUGAUCAUCUUCAUCUAGACGAGAUGGUUUUUAAUUAAUUAGUACUGCGACUGCUGAUUAUUGGGAUGUAGGGGAGCCCUAGAUUGGGUUUGUGAUUUGCUUAUAGAUCCGUUCUUCCUAAAUCCUUUAUUUUUAUUUUUGAUGUAGUUAGGGUUGUUCUGAUUUUAUCAUCUAUAGCUUUUCAUUGUUUCCUUUGAAUAUAAUCAAUCUUGGGUGCCCAAGUUCUAAGUCUUGUAUCAUAAAGAUUGUGCACACAGGAAGAAGCUAGCAAAGAAGAGCUGCUCUAAACACAUCAUUUGAUUUAAGGUGGGUCAAAUACUCAAAAAGGGAAUUAGAAUGGUUAGACGCAGAGCUGACUAAAAUGAUGGCUAACUCCAUCUCCAUUUUCAAGUUUGAACAUCCUUCUCUUCUCUUCUGCAACAUUAAUCUUAUCCCUUGAUUCUCUUCAUUUGUUGUGUAAAAAUGCUGAUUAUGAGAGUUAAUCUUAUCCAUUACAGUGAUCAUGGCAUGCAUGCCGCCUCCUCCUCCACUCCACACCAUUGUGUUUGUUUAAUGUCAGUAAUUUAAGUUUUAAUUAUGGUUUGGUGGGCCAAACGUCUUUUAAUUAUGCGAUGAGAGGAGCAGGCCAGUCAGCCCUACCAGUGUCCUGUCCAGCAUCACUUGAGAGAAGAGAAGGGAUACGUUUCUUCUACGCUCUCUCCAUUCUCCUCCUUGAUCUUGUAGCCAUUUACGUAGCCACGUAGGAUUAUGAUCGAAUGACUGACGACAUUAAUGCCAAUAAAUAUAUACAAUAUAUGCACAAGCAUUACCCACCCACACCCUUACCCUUAUGUGGCGCGUAAAAGGACCACCUCUCUAAUUAAUUUUGAUUGUUGAAUUUACAUUACAGGAUGCAGAA